AGGCUUACCUGGCAGGGGAAACACCCUGAUCAUGAAGUGGUCUUCCCAGGGUGGGGCUCAUCCAUUGGACCAUGGAUGUGCUGACCCCUGAGAUAUCCCCAAUGAGGAGAAACUCUACUGCUUAAUUUGUGGUACUAGGGGACUGCAUUGACAAUUUCCAC
Molecule: small nuclear RNA, 161 nt
Organism: Cavia aperea (Brazilian guinea pig)
Lineage: Eukaryota; Metazoa; Chordata; Mammalia; Rodentia; Caviidae
Gene: U1
Rfam family: U1 spliceosomal RNA
About the family: U1 is a small nuclear RNA (snRNA) component of the spliceosome (involved in pre-mRNA splicing). Its 5' end forms complementary base pairs with the 5' splice junction, thus defining the 5' donor site of an intron.
Source: Ensembl